Papio anubis (olive baboon) is the source of this 1901-nucleotide long non-coding RNA. Lineage: Eukaryota; Metazoa; Chordata; Mammalia; Primates; Cercopithecidae. The record is from Ensembl.
UGGGCCUUGACCAGGGACAGAGGCAUGUUUUGUGUGAAAACAAUGGUUGCAUUUUCCCCAGGAAACAGCGCCCAGUUACCAGGCCACUUUGUCUUGGCAGGGCCUCCUAUCCCAGGGUGGACUCUGGCCCACACCAGGGUUGUGUCUCCGUCACCCUGUCACGGCAAGAAAAGGAGAAAACACCCAAGACGUGAAGCAGGCUUGCCUGUUCCUACCUGCCCUGCAAGCUCUUCUCUGCCCCAAGCCCCCAACUCUGUCCUCUGAGUUUCUCUUUACCCCAGACUUGGCUCUUGUCCUGGUGAGGGUGUGUUCUCUGAGUCCCAGAGAGUGAGUGGCAUUCGGAGACAGUCUGAGGACACAGAAUUACGAAAUCAUACUCAGGAAACCACCCAGAGGCAAGUGCUUGGAAAGGCUCCUGUUUUCAUUCCUUCUCCCGCUCUACCUCUAUAUAAUAGUCUUAUGUUAUUUUCUCUUUAUUUACAGUUUAAGACAACGGCAUCAAUCCAUGCAAAGUCUCAUUUCUUUCCAAGACUCUAUGCCUGUUUCAACUCCAUUUUCCAGAGGCACUCACGCUUAUAUGCUAUGCGCUAUAAAUGUGGCCAAGUUCCUGGGUGUGGCUGCUCUUUUCCACUGUUGAAUUCUUCUAGGGUUUGCAUAAAUAAAAAAAUUCAUGGAGCAGGUUCCUGUACUAAGGCUGCUUGGAAAAUUCAUGGACUUUUUGGGAAAACAAUCUGGUUUUUUUCUAAAUAAGGAGAAAAUACCAGAAUGAUUAAUCCAGGCGAGGUCUCACAUAAUCUGUGAAUUAAUUCUUUCCUAUUUCUCUUUUAUUCGGUAGUAGUGUGGACUUGUUGAUAACAUGAAUUGAAGUCUGGAUUCCUCUUGCACUCUGCCACAAAUAUCCUCUACUCAAUAAAAGGUUUACAGUGGUGUCUGAGCCCCUUUACAUUUCAUGUAAAAUGACAGGAUUGGAUUGGAUGACUCGAGGUCCCUUCCACAUCAGCUCUCCCAUCAUGCCAGAAUUACCCAGCAUUGCACCACCCCUUCACUCCUGGCCCUGAUCCUAAAAACAAAGGGGAUUUGUCAGGAAAGGCAGGGAUUUAUCAGUGUUUUUCUUGUAAGAGAACAUGCACAGCUGUAGAAAACCUUCACUAUUCCCCACCAUCUGUGGUUGGAAAAACUUUAUCAACAGUUUAGAUUUUUAAAAUUAAAAUAUCCCCUUAACCUGCUGUGAUAUGAUCUACAGUGACAAGCUGGCCUUUAGAAAUUCUCCUACAAUGGCCAGGUAGAGGGUUGGCUUGGCCACAGCAGGGCACAGCUCCAUUCUGGCUGUUGACUCAGAGCCUCUCUCUAGGAUCCUCAGGCAGCGUGCUGUCAAUCAACUUCUGCAGGAUCACUGACACUAGCCAUGAUUUAUUAGACUUAGCAUUCAUUAUGUCUUUUUCUUUUCCUUAUUCACUCUAUUUUUGCCCCAACUAGUUUUCAAGUUAGGUAACCACCAUAAACAGUUUGUAGUUUGUUCCUGUCGUACCUUAAAUUUCUUAAAAAUGCAAUUGUGAAGUAUUCGAUUUGUUCCAAGUACUAUACAAAUAUUCUUACAGGCUAUGAAUGUGUAAGUGUAAUGUGUGGAUGUGGCUAUGUUAUGGUUACAGAUCUUAUAGAAAUAUCACUGCUGAGGUACAAUAUAAGACGAAUACCAUAAAUAUGCCAUGACCCAAGCCAAGGAACCUCCUCUGGGCUCUUCCAUCUCGAUAUUCGAACAUCACACUCCCAUCCCAACCUACUUCUGAAAUAUCUCCCAAAUCCGUCCACAUUCCUCAUUUUCAAUGCUGCCAUUCUGGUUUCAGCAAUUAUCAUGUUUUUGCCUGGACUACCCAUUGGUCUGCUAACUAACUGGUCUCUUA